GGGUUCCAGUAAUUCCAGUGGUUCUAGUGGGUUUGAAAGUGUUACUCCACAUACGUCAGAAGAAUCCGACGCGCCGACCAGUCCUUCCAAUGGACGACUUGAUGAUCCUGACACAAAUUGUUCAGAUUUUGAGGAAGAAGAUGAAAAUAUUACGAAUGCCAAAGA
Molecule: long non-coding RNA, 165 nt
Organism: Saccostrea cuccullata (small rock oyster)
Lineage: Eukaryota; Metazoa; Mollusca; Bivalvia; Ostreida; Ostreidae
Exons: 4
Source: RefSeq, a predicted model, not a curated record